UGCAAGUCGAACGGCAGCACGGGAGCUUGCUCCUGGUGGCGAGUGGCGGACGGGUGAGUAACACGUAGGAAUCUGCCUAGUAGUGGGGGAUAACCCGGGGAAACUCGGGCUAAUACCGCAUACGCUCUACGGAGGAAAGCGGGGGAUCUUCGGACCUCGCGCUAUUAGAUGAGCCUGCGUCCGAUUAGCUAGUUGGCGGGGUAAAAGCCCACCAAGGCGACGAUCGGUAGCUGGUCUGAGAGGACGAUCAGCCACACUGGAACUGAGACACGGUCCAGACUCCUACGGGAGGCAGCAGUGGGGAAUAUUGGACAAUGGGCGCAAGCCUGAUCCAGCAAUGCCGCGUGUGUGAAGAAGGCCUGCGGGUUGUAAAGCACUUUAAGCAGGAAAGAAGGCUUCGGAGUUAAUACCUUCGAAGAUUGACGUUACCUGCAGAAUAAGCACCGGCUAACUCCGUGCCAGCAGCCGCGGUAAUACGGAGGGUGCGAGCGUUAAUCGGAAUUACUGGGCGUAAAGCGCGCGUAGGCGGUUUGCUAAGUCCGCUGUGAAAGCCCUGGGCUUAACCUGGGAACUGCAGUGGAUACUGGCAGGCUAGAGUAUGGUAGAGGAGAGUGGAAUUUCCGGUGUAGCAGUGAAAUGCGUAGAGAUCGGAAGGAACACCAGUGGCGAAGGCGGCUCUCUGGACUAAUACUGACGCUGA
RNAcentral lists this ribosomal RNA (700 nucleotides) under uncultured Gammaproteobacteria bacterium. RNAcentral's name for it is "bacterial SSU rRNA". It matches the Rfam family "Bacterial small subunit ribosomal RNA", at positions 56 to 749 of the family's 1533-position model. The record is from RNAcentral. Lineage: Bacteria; Pseudomonadati; Pseudomonadota; Gammaproteobacteria.